CCAAUAGCGUAUAUUAAAGUUGUUGCAGUUAAAAAGCUCGUAGUUGAAUUUCGGGGUUAGUAGGUUGGUCAUGCCUCUGGUAUGUACUGGUCUCACUGAUUCCUCCUUCCUGAUGAACCUUAAUGCCAUUAAUUUGGUGUUUUGGGGAAUUUGGACUGUUACUUUGAAAAAAUUAGAGUGUUUAAAGCAAGCUAACGCUUGAAUACAUUAGCAUGGAAUACUGAAAUAGGACGUUCGAUCCUAUUUUGUUGGUUUCUAGGAUUGACGUAAUGAUUAAUAGGGAUAGUUGGGGGCAUUAGUAUUCAAUUGUCAGAGGUGAAAUUCUUGGAUUUAUUGAAGACUAACUACUGCGAAAGCAUUUGCCAAGGAUGUUUUCAUUAAUCAAGAACGAAAGUUAGGGGAUCGAAGACGAUCAGAUACCGUCGUAGUCUUAACCAUAAACUAUGCCGACUAGGGAUCGGAUGAUGUUAAUUUUUUAAUGACUCAUUCGGCGCCUUACG
This 500-nucleotide ribosomal RNA is filed under the name uncultured Glomeromycotina. Its description in RNAcentral is "partial small subunit ribosomal RNA". It matches the Rfam family "Eukaryotic small subunit ribosomal RNA", at positions 591 to 1092 of the family's 1831-position model. The record is from RNAcentral. Lineage: Eukaryota; Fungi; Glomeromycota.